RNAcentral lists this ribosomal RNA (573 nucleotides) under bacterium tet-w-3. RNAcentral describes it as "bacterial SSU rRNA". It matches the Rfam family "Bacterial small subunit ribosomal RNA", at positions 49 to 613 of the family's 1533-position model. The record is from RNAcentral.
CUACACAUGCAGUCGACGGCAGCACAGAGGAGCUUGCUCCUUGGGUGGCGAGUGGCGGACGGGUGAGGAAUACAUCGGAAUCUACUUUUUCGUGGGGGAUAACGUAGGGAAACUUACGCUAAUACCGCAUACGACCUACGGGUGAAAGCAGGGGAUCUUCGGACCUUGCGCGAUUGAAUGAGCCGAUGUCGGAUUAGCUAGUUGGCGGGGUAAAGGCCCACCAAGGCGACGAUCCGUAGCUGGUCUGAGAGGAUGAUCAGCCACACUGGAACUGAGACACGGUCCAGACUCCUACGGGAGGCAGCAGUGGGGAAUAUUGGACAAUGGGCGCAAGCCUGAUCCAGCCAUACCGCGUGGGUGAAGAAGGCCUUCGGGUUGUAAAGCCCUUUUGUUGGGAAAGAAAUCCAGCCGGCUAAUACCUGGUUGGGAUGACGGUACCCAAAGAAUAAGCACCGGCUAACUUCGUGCCAGCAGCCGCGGUAAUACGAAGGGUGCAAGCGUUACUCGGAAUUACUGGGCGUAAAGCGUGCGUAGGUGGUUGUUUAAGUCUGUUGUGAAAGCCCUGGGCUCAAC